RNAcentral lists this ribosomal RNA (490 nucleotides) under uncultured bacterium. Its description in RNAcentral is "partial 16S ribosomal RNA". It matches the Rfam family "Bacterial small subunit ribosomal RNA", at positions 29 to 507 of the family's 1533-position model. The record is from RNAcentral.
AGUGAACGCUGGCGGUAGGCCUAACACAUGCAAGUCGAACGGCAGCACAGUAAGAGCUUGCUCUUACGGGUGGCGAGUGGCGGACGGGAGGAAUACAUCGGAAUCUACUUUUUCGUGGGGGAUAACGUAGGGAAACUUACGCUAAUACCGCAUACGACCUACGGGUGAAAGCAGGGGAUCUUCGGAUCUUGCGCGAUUGAAUGAGCCGAUGUCGGAUUAGCUAGUUGGCGGGGUAAAGGCCCACCAAGGCGACGAUCCGUAGCUGGUCUGAGAGGAUGAUCAGCCACACUGGAACUGAGACACGUUCCAGACUCCUACGGGAGGCAGCAGUGGGGAAUAUUGGACAAUGGGCGCAAGCCUGAUCCAGCCAUACCGCGUGGGUGAAGAAGGCCUUCGGGUUGUAAAGCCCUUUUGUUGGGAAAGAAAAGCAGCAGGUUAAUACCCCGCUGUUCUGACGGUACCCAAAGAAUAAGCACCGGCUAACUUCGUG